This 501-nucleotide ribosomal RNA is filed under the name uncultured Methanocalculus sp. Its description in RNAcentral is "bacterial SSU rRNA". It matches the Rfam family "Archaeal small subunit ribosomal RNA", at positions 858 to 1338 of the family's 1478-position model. The record is from RNAcentral. Lineage: Archaea; Methanobacteriati; Methanobacteriota; Methanomicrobia; Methanomicrobiales; Methanocalculaceae.
CCAGCCCGCUCAGAAACUCAAAGGAAGUUGACGGGGGAGCACCACAACGGGUGGAGCCUGCGGUUUAAUUGGAUUCAACGCCGGACAACUCACCGGAUACGACAGCGGAAUGAUAGCCGGGCUGAAGACUCUGCUUGACUAGCUGAGAGGAGGUGCAUGGCCGUCGUCAGUUCGUACUGUGAAGCAUCCUGUUAAGUCAGGCAACGAGCGAGACCCACGCCAACAGUUGCCAGCAUGAUCUCCGGAUUGAUGGGGACACUGUUGGGACCGCCUCUGCUAAAGGGGAGGAAGGAAUGGGCAACGGUAGGUCAGCAUGCCCCGAAUUAUCCGGGCUACACGCGGGCUACAAUGGAUGGGACAAUGGGUUUCGACACCGAAAGGUGAAGGUAAUCUCCUAACCCCACCCGUAGUUCGGAUUGCGGGCUGCAACUCGCCCGCAUGAAGCUGGAAUCCGUAGUAAUCGCGUCUCACGAUGGCGCGGUGAAUAUGUCCCUGCUCCUU